This 610-nucleotide ribosomal RNA is filed under the name uncultured bacterium. Its description in RNAcentral is "bacterial SSU rRNA". It matches the Rfam family "Bacterial small subunit ribosomal RNA", at positions 227 to 828 of the family's 1533-position model. The record is from RNAcentral.
GAGCCCGCGUCUCAUUAGCUAGACGGUGGGGUAACGGCCUACCGUGGCAACGAUGAAUAGCAGGCCUGAGAGGGUGGCCUGCCACACUGGGACUGGAACACGGCCCAGACUCCUACGGGAGGCAGCAGUGGGGAAUAUUGCGCAAUGGACGAAAGUCUGACGCAGCGACGCCGCGUGGAGGAUGAAGGUUUUCGGAUCGUAAACUCCUGUCAAGAGGGAAGAAACCUAUCAUGAAUAAUACUUAUGGUAAUUGACGGUACCUCUAGAGGAAGCACCGGCUAAUUCAGUGCCAGCAGCCGCGGUAAUACUGAAGGUGCAAGCGUUAAUCGGAAUCACUGGGCGUAAAGCGCUCGUAGGUGGCUUUGUAAGUCAGAUGUGAAAGCCCAGGGCUCAACCCUGGAAUUGCAUUUGAUACUGCAUCGCUAGAGUAUAGGAGAGGGAAGUGGAAUUUCUGGUGUAGGAGUGAAAUCCGUAGAGAUCAGAAGGAACACCCGUGGCGAAGGCGACUUCCUGGACUAUUACUGACACUGAGGAGCGAAAGCGUGGGGAGCAAACAGGAUUAGAUACCCUGGUAGUCCACGCCGUAAACGAUGGAUACUAGGUGUCGGGG